This 253-nucleotide ribosomal RNA is filed under the name uncultured bacterium. RNAcentral describes it as "partial 16S ribosomal RNA". It matches the Rfam family "Bacterial small subunit ribosomal RNA", at positions 524 to 776 of the family's 1533-position model. The record is from RNAcentral.
GACAGAGGUGCCAAGCGUUAGGCGGAAUCACUGGGCUUAAAGCGUGUGUAGGCGGGCGAUCAAGUACCUUGUUAAAUCCCACGGCUCACCCGUGGAACUGCUGGGCAUACUGGGCGUCUUGGGCCAACUAGGGGCAGCCGGAACAAGCGGUGGAGCGGUGAAAUGCGUAGAUAUCGGAAAGAACACCAACGGCGAAAGCACUCUGCUGGGCCGACACUGACACUGAGAGACGAAAGCUAGGGGAGCGAAUGGG